RNAcentral lists this ribosomal RNA (305 nucleotides) under uncultured Streptococcus sp. RNAcentral's name for it is "bacterial SSU rRNA". It matches the Rfam family "Bacterial small subunit ribosomal RNA", at positions 1077 to 1382 of the family's 1533-position model. Lineage: Bacteria; Bacillati; Bacillota; Bacilli; Lactobacillales; Streptococcaceae. The record is from RNAcentral.
GGGUUAAGUCCCGCAACGAGCGCUAACCCCUAUUGUUAGUUGCCAUCAUUCAGUUGGGCACUCUAGCGAGACUGCCGGUAAUAAACCGGAGGAAGGUGGGGAUGACGUCAAAUCAUCAUGCCCCUUAUGACCUGGGCUACACACGUGCUACAAUGGUUGGUACAACGAGUUGCGAGUCGGUGACGGCGAGCUAAUCUCUUAAAGCCAACCUCAGUUCGGAUUGUAGGCUGCAACUCGCCUACAUGAAGUCGGAAUCGCUAGUAAUCGCGGAUCAGCACGCCGCGGUGAAUACGUUCCCGGGCCUU